RNAcentral lists this ribosomal RNA (568 nucleotides) under uncultured bacterium. RNAcentral's name for it is "bacterial SSU rRNA". It matches the Rfam family "Bacterial small subunit ribosomal RNA", at positions 94 to 649 of the family's 1533-position model. The record is from RNAcentral.
AGCGGCGGAUGGGUGAGUAACACGUGGGUAACCUGCCCUAAAGUCUGGGAUACCACUUGGAAACAGGUGCUAAUACCGGAUAACAGCAAUAGCUGCAUGGCUAUUGCUUAAAAGGCGGCGUAAGCUGUCGCUAAAGGAUGGACCCGCGGUGCAUUAGCUAGUUGGUAAGGUAACGGCUUACCAAGGCGACGAUGCAUAGCCGAGUUGAGAGACUGAUCGGCCACAUUGGGACUGAGACACGGCCCAAACUCCUACGGGAGGCAGCAGUAGGGAAUCUUCCACAAUGGGCGAAAGCCUGAUGGAGCAACGCCGCGUGAGUGAAGAAGGUUUUCGGAUCGUAAAGCUCUGUUGUUGGUGAAGAAGGAUAGAGGUAGUAACUGGCCCCUAUUUGACGGUAAUCAACCAGAAAGUCACGGCUAACUACGUGCCAGCAGCCGCGGGUAAUACGUAGGUGGCAAGCGUUGUCCGGAUUUAUUGGGCGUAAAGCGAGCGCAGGCNGAAAGAUAAGUCUGAUGUGAAGCCCCCGGCUUAACCGAGGAAUUGCAUCGGAACUGUGUUUUUUGAUGCA